Long non-coding RNA from Oreochromis niloticus (Nile tilapia), 957 nucleotides. RefSeq lists it as uncharacterized. The record is from RefSeq and is a predicted model, not a curated record. The transcript has 3 exons. NCBI's taxonomy places the organism in Eukaryota, Metazoa, Chordata, Actinopteri, Cichliformes, Cichlidae.
UUACACAUCAACCUGUAAAUGCUCUUUUUGCACAAUAUUUUUAUGUUUACUGUUCCUGCACUACCUACCUACCAAGUAUGUUUACGGUUUCCUUUGCACUACCUACCUAGUUAGAUAGUUUUAGUUAGAUAGUUAGUUUUUGUUAAUUUAUGUUGUAAUUUAUGUUAGGUCAGUCUGUCCUGUCUCUAGUUAGCUAGUUUAGUGAUUUUCUGUUAAUUUAUGUUGUAAAUUUAUGUUGCAUGUAGCACCUUGGCCCUGGAGGAACGCUGUUUCGCCUCACUGUGUACAAACUGUAUAUGGCUGAAGUGACAAUAGAGCUUGACUUGACUUGACUUGACUUGACUUGACUUGACUUCCAUCCAGUCCAGGCGAGCUACCUGUGUUUUUCCACGUUUUCCCUGCUUAUCCACCUCUGGGCAGAGCCCUCAUCAGCCCAUCUGCUCAUCUCACCUGGUGGAUCCAGGACAAUUAAUAAGGCAGUAUUUAAGCCCAGCGUCAACAUCUCUUCUCCAGCAGUUCAUCAGCUAAGCUCACCCAUCUCUCUGAACCAUCACUCCACUCGCCUGCAGCUCACAUUCUCUGGACACUGGUUACCAUUAGUCUUCGCUCUGUUCCUGGAUUCAUUCCUCCCCACCUGCCUGCCCUCCUGCCUACAGCUCCUGUAGAUCAGAUAAAACUGGUCCGACUCUCUCCACAUACCCACCUUCCAGGACGCCCACCCAGCCUUUCCCUUUCCCUACCGAGCCUCACACACUCCACCUGCCAAUUCCAUCGUAUCUGAGAUACUACACUAGUCAUUUAUCGUUUCGUAUCGUGUCGUUUAUCCUUGUGUUUAUCAAUAAAGCUUGAGAAUCCUUAUCACUGUUUUCCAUGUUUGAAUCUGCACUUAGGUGCACCUGCUGUCCUUCAUGACACAAUAAAAUGGUCAUACUUUUAAGGUUGUUGUGGUGACUUCAG